Molecule: ribosomal RNA, 1285 nt
Filed under: metagenome
Description: SSU rRNA
Rfam family: Eukaryotic small subunit ribosomal RNA
Source: RNAcentral
GUGCCGGGCCUUUACAGGUCUGGCAAUUGGAAUGAGAACAAUUUAAAUCCCUUAUCGAGGAUCAAUUGGAGGGCAAGUCUGGUGCCAGCAGCCGCGGUAAUUCCAGCUCCAAUAGCGUAUAUUAAAGUUGUUGCAGUUAAAAAGCUCGUAGUUGGAUUUGUGGUUUACGCAAGGCUUCCGUCCCUCUUGGGUUUCGGUGUUGCCUGGCGUUGCCAUCCUUGGGUGGAAUCUGUGUGGCAUUAGGUUGUCGUGCAGGGGAUGCCCAUCGUUUACUGUGAAAAAAUUAGAGUGUUCAAAGCAGGCUUAUGCCGUUGAAUAUGUUAGCAUGGUAUAAUAAUAUAGGACCUUGGUACUAUUUUGUUGGUUUGCGCACCGAGGUAAUGAUUAACAGGGUCAACUGGGGAUAUUCGUAUUCCGCUGUCAGAGGUGAAAUUCUUGGAUUUUUGGAAGACGAACUACUGCGAAAGCAUUUAUCAAGGAUGUUUUCAUUAAUCAAGAACGAAAGUUAGGGGAUCGAAGAUGAUUAGAUACCAUCGUAGUCUUAACCAUAAACUAUGCCGACAAGGGAUUGGUGGAGUAUCGUUACGUCUCCAUCAGCACCUUAUGAGAAAUCAAAAGUCUUUGGGUUCCGGGGGGAGUAUGGUCGCAAGGCUGAAACUUAAAGAAAUUGACGGAAGGGCACCACCAGGAGUGGAGCCUGCGGCUUAAUUUGACCCAACACGGGAAAACUUACCAGGUCCAGACAUAGUGAGGAUUGACAGAUUGAGAGCUCUUUCUUGAUUCUAUGGGUGGUGGUGCAUGGCCGUUCUUAGUUGGUGGAGUGAUUUGUCGUUAAUUCCGUUAACGAACGAGACCCCUGCCUGCUAAAUAGCCCAGUGAGUGAUUUUUCACUGACUGUUGGCUUCUUAGAGGGACGUGCAUUCUAUUAGAUGCAGGAAGAUAGGGGCAAUAACAGGUCUGUGAUGCCCUUAGAUGUCCUGGGCCGCACGCGCGCUACACUGAUGAAUUCAACGAGUUUUUUCCUUGGCCGAGAGGCCUGGGCAAUCUUUUGAACGUUCAUCGUGAUAGGGAUAGAUUAUUGCAAUUAUUAAUCUUGAACGAGGAAUUCCUAGUAAACGCAGAUCAUCAAUCUGCAUUGAUUACGUCCCUGCCCUUUGUACACACCGCCCGUCGCACCUACCGAUUGAAUGGUCCGGUGAAGCCUCGGGAUUGUGGUCAGUUUGCCUUAUUGCGAGUUGAUUGCGAGAACUUGUCUAAACCUUAUCAUUUAGAGGAAGGUGAAGUC